GAUGAAGAACGUAGCGAAAUGCGUUAAGUAGUGUGAAUUGCAGAAUUCAGUGAAUCAUCGAAUCUUUGAACGCACAUUGCGGCCAUAGGUAUUCCUUUGGCCAUGCCUGUUCGAGCGUCAUUUACACCCUCAAGCCUAGCUUGGUGUUGGGCGUCUGUCCCGCCGUUCUCGCGCGCGGACUCGCCUCAAAGUCAUUGGCGGCGGUCGUGCCGGCCCCCUCGCGCAGCACAUUUGCGCUUCUCGGAGGCCCGGCGGAUCCGCGCUCCAGCAAGACCUUUCACGACUUGACCUCGGAUCAGGUAGGGAUACCCGCUGAACUUAAGCAUAUCAAUAAGCGGAGGA
This 342-nucleotide unclassified non-coding RNA is filed under the name soil metagenome. RNAcentral's name for it is "partial contains 5.8S ribosomal RNA, internal transcribed spacer 2, and large subunit ribosomal RNA". The stretch from base 1 to 120 matches the Rfam family "5.8S ribosomal RNA", at positions 35 to 154 of the family's 154-position model. The record is from RNAcentral.